CAGUCGCCGCGGUAAUACGAAGGGGGCUAGCGUUGCUCGGAAUGACUGGGCGUAAAGGGCGCGUAGGCGGAUGGCACAGUCAGAUGUGAAAUUCCCGGGCUUAACCUGGGGGCUGCAUUUGAUACGUGUUGUCUAGAGUGAGGAAGAGGGUCGUGGAAUUCCCAGUGUAGAGGUGAAAUUCGUAGAUAUUGGGAAGAACACCGGUGGCGAAGGCGGCGACCUGGUCCUUGACUGACGCUGAGGCGCGAAAGCGUGGGGAGCAAACAGGAUUAGAUACCCCCGUAGUCCCUGUCUCUUAUAC
This 301-nucleotide ribosomal RNA is filed under the name uncultured bacterium. RNAcentral's name for it is "partial 16S ribosomal RNA". It matches the Rfam family "Bacterial small subunit ribosomal RNA", at positions 509 to 807 of the family's 1533-position model. The record is from RNAcentral.